CGCACGUGCGUGCGUGCGUGUGUGUGUGUGUGUGUGUGUGUGUGUGUGUGUGUGUGUGUGUAUGCGCGUGUGUGUAUCGGACUGUACUCUGUUGUUUUCUUCUACAGCUCAGAUAACUUCUCACUUUCCUUUGCCCUUAAGUCUCACUCUAGAUGUUCUGCUAGAUAAGCUUGUUUACUAGUGCAGUUUCAACUCCCUGUUUUAUGGUGGUGAUGCUCAAGUCAAAAUCUGGAGGCAAUACUGCUCUGAGUUUCAGCAUCCUUUAUCCGACUCCAUCUGCACUCUCUAUCUCUCAGAUACCCCACACGCCAGCUGCACAACAGGGUCAUGAGAUUCACACCUCUCUCUGCUCUGUGACCUGUGACCCGCUGUGUGAAUAGCAUCUCUUUACCACAUUGUUAAAGCUAUACGCCUAAAAGCUCUCCCGAGGCCUCCUCUUCCUCAAACAUCUAGUCAAAGCUGGCCAUGGAGAGUGUCCCCCCACCCCCUGCCCCUGCCGCCAUGCCACUUCCAAAAUCUGUCAGACCAGGCACACAACUCAGCUCCAUCUCCUGCUUACUGUCUUGUCCUCCGUCUUCAAGAGUGAACUUUCUGAGCUAUGAUUCAACUGUGCAUUCUCCUUCAAGCUACCCAUGGCUACCCCUUGGUCUUAGGAUAGAAUCUAAACUCUUGAGUAUUGCUUACAAAGCUUGUAUGUUCCUGAAUUCUUUACCUCGACCCUCUGUGUCUUUCAGCUACUGUCUUUGAAGUCUUCCAAACUCUCUUUUACUUCAGGGUCUGCUUCAUUCUGCUGCUGCUUUCAUCUGGUUAUGAUUGCCUGUUCUUAAACCUGGCAGGGGCCUCUCCGCCUGCAAGAAGUCUGUGAGCUACCAGUCUAGGGAUAAGGCCUCCCAUCACUCCCUUACUAUUCCAUAUCACAACAUUUAUUUCUGCAGAUAUAGUUAUCUCUUGAGGAGUUUCUAUUUUCAUUCUCCCAUAAAUUCUUUGAGGACAGCAACUUGAUAGUUACUUCAUCAUACAUAAAGGUUUUUGGAGAAAGAUACCCACAAAUGUACACCUGAAGAGGUUAUACCCAUCCUAAGCAGAACGUGACCUAAUGAAUGAGAUAGAUAAUCUGUCUUUCUUCCUGUAUCUCCACAUGUGUCCUUGUAACAUCAUAUUUAGUCAAAUAGAAAGAGAUUUCGGAAAUGUUGGACCUUGAAGGAUUCUUACAGAUCACCUUUAUUUUAUGCAUGAAUAACCAAGGUCCAGGGAGAGAAGGCCACUUUGUCACCCCCCCCCCCCCCCAUGGAGAGUCCCCGAACCCGUGCCCUAGCAUUCUUUUCAGGCUUCUUCAUUUUGGCCACUUUGAUAUGUUUGAGAUAACGGUCCACUUUCUCUUUCUCUCUCUCUCUCUUUUUCAUUUUAGUUUCUUUAGAUGACUAGUGGGUAGAACAAAUUUUUAAUAUUCAACAGCUAUUUGACAUUUAUCUUUAUUCUAAAGAUAAAUCUCUAAAACCUUCAUCAAUUUUAUUGGAUCAUCUGCUUCUCUCUUUUAUGGUUAGGAAUUUCUUACAUAUUCUGUAUAUGAAUUCUUAAAUUUCCCUUAAUGUUGUUUAGUCAUCUGGGACCCAGUGUAUGCAUAGGCAGCCACCCUUGAGGGAAAUGCUCAUCUGCAGGAAGUGUUUGAGGAUAUUUCUUGGGAGUGCUGUUUGUAAAAGUAUACAAUUGGAAAUGCAUAAAUGUAUGUUUGUCUACUCCAGUUUGUCUAAUCCUGAGUGAGUCAGUAAAUUAUGGUCUGCUCACAUAAUGGCAAUAAGAGCAUAAAUGAACUAACUGGUUCUACAUGUUCUCUACAGAGUUGGUGCCAGAAACUAGUACGUCGCAUAGAAGAAUAGAUAAAAUAAUACACACGGCAUGUGAUGCAGUCAAAUACUAAUUUACAUUUCUGAGUAAAUACAUAUGAGCUAGAAGUGAAAGAAGAGCAGUCUAAGUACUAUGAGUGAGUGCUGCUCCAGCAGGGGAUCAGAGUUCAGUUCCCAGCACCUGUGUCCACUGGGCCACAGCCAUCUCUUACUCCAUUUCCAAGGAAUCAGGUGCCUCUGGCACCCUUCAGCUCUGCACUCACAUGUACACACCCCACCAUUAAAGACAAUUAGAUAUAAUCUUUAAAAAACAAACAAACAAACAAAAAUCCCUCCAAAAUCGUGACUGGAAGAACAUUCUUCCUCCCUAGGGAAGAAGACAGGAUAAAGGUUGGGUACUCAAUUUGGCCUGUGAUAGGCCUUGUUAAAAGAGAUUUAUGGAAAAUGGAAAGAUGUUAGCACAUGGUAAGUUUGAGCUCUGAGUAAAUGAAUGCCUGUGGCCUUAUUCUGUAUUAUUUGUGUACAAUUGAAUUAUUUCUGAAUAAAAGAAAAUAUAAAAACCUGGCAAAAGAGGUAGAUCAGAACUUUUUCCCAGUCAAACUAACAGAAUAUGCACACACACACACACACACACACACACACACACACACACACACACACACACACACAUUAUACAUGAAACACAUUUAAAUAACUUGCAAUAGAAGAGGUGGAAUGCAGGAAAGUUUUAAUGUGAAGGAAGGACAGAAGCGAAAAUAGGGCAGUGACGGAGAAGGUACAGGGAGGGAUGGAGAGUUGGCGAAGGAAGGAUGCUUAUAAAAUACUGUGCUACAUAGCUUGCCUUGGGAGGAGUUGGAGGGAGAAACACAUCAUUACGAGUCAUAAUCAUUGAUUAAACCUUUAUAAAUCAUUAUAGUAACAUAUUAUAGGAACUGAAAAAAAUCACAUAGGCCAACGUGUCCUUCAUGUUAGUCAUAAGACAAACAAGGCCCAGAAAAACAGAAAGAUAAGUCCGGGCAUUUUAUUUGAGAAUAUCUGUAUCCAGCUAUUCCUGUCAGUGAAUGUACUUGUACUGGCUGACUUUUCAGUUGAUGUGAGUUAUAUGUUUUAGACAGAUGGUUAAAAGGACAUAAAUCUUGAUUAGGAAGCAAGGAUAUUGUUGUGACUACAGAAAUGUCACAAUACAGACUAAUGGGUAGCCCCACAGGUAACACCUGUGAAAUGGGUGUCAUUAUGGAGACUCUCAAAGAGGGACACUAGAAUUCAAUUGCUGCUGCCUCCCACUUGUGCCUGGGGGCAUCUUGCUUGCUAGCUGAUCAAUAUCAUUCUGGUUACAUCUGUCUUUUAUAACUCCAAUAAAGACUAUCUCAUUAGGUGGCCCAAAGCCAAGAGAUAACUAUGAAGAUCUUCCAUGAAGUUCUUACAAAAGGUGGCCUCAGGUCACUACCACUAAGGUGAGUCACUGUGAUUUUCCUUAGGGACUUUCUUCUAGUUACAGGCUAGUGGGCAGAUCUGGAAUGAACCAAUAAGUUUACAUCUUUGUGUUGGUAACAUAGUCAGAGAUCAUGGUGAGGAAUGACCUUAAUAAAGAUAGAGGAGGCAGCUGACUGAGGCAUGAAACACUGGUCCAUAGGUUUUCCUACCCUAAGGGGCCUCACAUUCCCCCAGCCAGAGACAAAGGUCUGCAGAUGUUGGCGGGCUUGCUAUCUCCUCUGACACGAGAAGAGGGUCUUCCAAAGGUAUCAUCAGGAGCUUUCCCUCCAGCAUAUCGGCACAAUAGUGAAUUUCCUAGAUUAGCUAAUCACAUCUUUCAAAGACAUAGGGAGCCUUGUCCUCAGAAGGUGACAUAUAAAAUUGGCAGGUUUCAACUUGCUCAGGAGAAGGUGGACCCAAUGAAAACAAACAAACAAACAUAAGAAACUCAAACUUCUGUUGGUCACGCCCAAUUGUGGUGUCACCAGGCGAUUUCAUUCUAUUUUAUACUUCCUCAAACAUUAAUGCUUUCCUUUGUGAUAUUUAGGAAGGUUUGAUUUAGACAGUCGUUUGCGUGAUUGGUAUUCAUUGGUUUUUCUGGCUAAACUGUAAAUCUCAUGAGACCAGGGACCACAUCUCUUUUAUUAUUUACAUCAUCUCAGAGCCUUGCCAGAAAUCUAGUUUAUGUUAUUAAGUUCCACACGUACCUGUUGACUGUGUUGUUAAGUGAGUGAAUGAGUGAGGGAGUGAAUGAGUAUAAGAACACAAGGCGUUAAUGAAGGAUGACUGAAUUCAAUGGAGAUCACACCAACGCUCUAUGGGCUAUUGGUGGGAGAUCAUUGUACAACAAUCUAGAACAAGCUCUUUAAAGAUAGGGGCCUAGUGGGAACAGUGUGACAUCAUGAUUCGUUAAUGGUGCUGCGAUGGCUGUGUUCCCUCACUUAUUAUGUGACCUCAGGUAGCUCAGUUCUUCACUCUGAUCCACUGUUUUCCCCCUUUAUACAAUGAGAACAGGGAAAUGAAACAGUUUUGAAUGGGCAUGAGGACUAAAUAAGAUAAAGAGGCAGUUUAUAAACUUUUCUAAUAGGUCUUUUUUUUUUUUUUGCGGAAGUGGGGUUACAUUAAACAACACUCAGUUUUAUUAAUGAAAAAUGGAUAUAUCAGUGGUAUCAUGGACAGAACCACAAGAAAAACAGCAAGGGUAGAGCUGUAUAGAGCAGCAUUGAUGGACUUAUUCUUCAAAUCACUGUCAAGAGCUGGGGUAUGGAGCAGGCAUGCCUGAGGUCCAGGAAGAAGUGUAGGAUAGUGGGUAACCAAGACUUGUUUCUGAGUAUAAAAGGAAGUUAUCCCUGGGUAAGCUGUCAGUUACAUUUAGGAAGUUUCUUCAUUUUUCAUGAGGUGGUCACACCUGAGUGACUCUGCAAUGUCACUCCUCAAGUUCCAAAGACAGUCCUAUCUAGAGAAAGAAAGACCUUGAAGGUGUCUCUUUCCAAAUGGAGGCAGCCAGUACAAGCUUUUCAGGUUUGAGACUCUGGUGAUCAAAGUUUCAACACAAUUUCUGUUUUGUCAUUGGUACUGGCUUUGACGACCUAAGUGAACUGCGGUUGAGAUGACUCAGGCUGGAAAGGCCUUGCAUCAGUAUGGAGUGGCAUCACACCUCCCUUCCUGGAACCACUUGCUCUAGACGACCUAUCCUAGAGGAUAUCACUUCCAAUUCCCCAUGAUAUUGUAGUCUUGCUUUAUGCGACUCUCAGAAUAGGAAGUGGAAAAAAGUAUCUAUCAUCCAGAAUUCUGUUGUCUGUUUGAUUGGCUAGCAGCACUCUCUGCCCCUUGUAACCUCCAACUACAUACUGCCCAAGAUAGUGAUGUCUUAUAUGACAUAAACUAUUUUAUACUUUAGUUGAGGUUGAAGGACAGGUGUGAAUUUCAUGGUGGUCAUCACUGAUACUUUCUUUACAACUUUAAUUCCUUUUGUAUUUCAGAAGAAACUAAGAACUUCUUACUCCUUAGUAUCCAUCCAUUAAAGAAGUAGUCAUAAUCAGGCUUGAUUUUUGGUGAUUGUUUCUGUGGUAAGGGGAUAUAAGUUUUUUGUUUUUAAAUACAAUCUUCCCUUGGCUUCCUUUUACUUAAAUUGGAUGCAUAUGUAAGUAGCAUCGAAGUUUUCCUUCCCUUUUUUGAAGAGAUGAUGAUUUUAUUUAUUUAUUUGAUUUUUUUGAGACAGGUUUCUCUGUGUAGCCCUGGCUGCUCUGGAACUCAAUCUGUAGACCAGACCUGCCUUGAACUCAUAGAGAUCUGCCUGCCUCUGCCUUUCAAGUGCUGGGGUUAAAGGCGUGUGCAACCACUGCCAGUUCUUAGAAAAAUUAAGCAAGUUCAGUGAUUUCUCCUAUUACAUUGACAUUGUUUUCUAUUUUGGUACAGUUGCACAGUGAUAGCUUAUUAACUAGAGUUUGGUUUUACGUCCUGUCUCACUCAGGCAUCUGCCUGCUUCUGCAGGUUCUGACAGAGGUGUGUCCUGUGUCCACUAUUAACAUCAUAUACAAGAGUUCCCCUGUCCCACAGAUUUAUGUGUUUCCCUUUUGUUUCCUUCUUCUCCUAGAGCCCUCACUGGAGUAAUUUUACAGACACUGGUAACAUACACAUUAUGCUAAUAAAUAGAACAAUUUCAGAAACAUGAUGAAAACUAAUGGGCUAGCUGUACUAAUUUUCAUUCUAUUAUUAUUUUCAUCUUAUUACUUUAAACUGUUUUUGAAAAUAUUUUGUUAAAUGAAGACGAUUUAAUUUCUCAAAAAUUUCCAGUGAAACUUGUUUUUUGUGACUGUGAGGUGACAGUCUCUCACUGAAUCUAGAACGUGGCUGGUCAUCAGCAGCUCUAGUGAGCUUUUGGUCUCUAUCUGACAGGGUGUUGGGGUUUCAGGCACAGGCAGCCAUAUCUGGUGUUUUUACAUGAGUGUUGGGAUUCAGACUCAGGUUUCCAUGCUUGCAGAGCACGUGCCCUUCCUUACCCACUGAGCCGUCUCUCCAGACAGACCUUUAUUUUGUUUUCAAGACAGGAUGCUUCAGCCUCUCUGGUGUUGGAAUCACAGGUGUGCGUCACACUACUGACUGUUUUAAUCAUCUAUUCAUGUCUCUGGUAUUGGAACUCUCCCUCAGCCCUGAAAAAAUAUAUGUCUAGAAUAGGAACAGAUAUUUUCUUGGUAUUUUACGUUCUUCUUGGAGAUGGAGGCAUCGGCCUGUAGCUAAGGCUUGCUUGUGAGUCAUCAAAUCAGAAUAACUGCUCCCCUCUUAGCCUCGUCAGCUUCAGCAGAGGCAGAAGCAGCAUCAAGAGUCUUUUAAACUCCUCAUUGUAUGUGACACUGAUGGCCUAAGCUAUCAGAAGAACUGGUUGGUGGUCAUUUUCUGGAUCUCUGGGCCUUUACCCAGGGCUUUUCCUGACUCCUGGAGAGGUGCUGGGAUUUGUUGUCACACAGUGAGACUUAGGUUCCUGCAGUGGGUCUCCCUUCGCCCUGACAUUGCCCUAGUGUGUUGUAGAACCGAAGAACAUGAAGAAGAUGGUAGAGGGAGAUUCUCUUCCCCCUCCACCAAAGGGACAGAAACUUCCAGACAUGACAGUUUCCUAAAAUACAGUUGGCCUAAUUUGUGUGAAUGUCACUUUUUCUGAAUGUCAUGAACUCCAUCGCUUCCUUUAGAAUAUGAUACUUGUUUUUGUUUUUUUUUUCUUCUUAGUUAAGGAAAAGGGAGCAUGUUGAAUACAUUAUGAAGGCUACUCUUCUAAUUAAUGAAAAGACUUGGCUGAGUUUAAAAAACAAGUGACUCUUUUCAUAUCCAAGUUACUUUUAGAAGUGCCUAUAAAUUAUUACCUUCCUCUGUAUAAGAGGUGUCUCAUGACUAAAGGCUGAGACAGCCUCCAUCAUGCUCUUUAACAAUGACUCCUAUGUUUCUUUGGUAAACUCAUAAUGUUAAUUACACUCUGCAACAGAUGGAGCACCUUCCAUCCAGGACCUCAGUGCACCUUGCAAAUGUCAUAAACCUUCAAAGCCCUUCCAUAAUGGAGGUAAGUAUCUAUGGUCACACUUUUAUAGGCAAAGAAGCACAAAGCAGGCAAGUGUUUUGUUUUUUAAAGUGGAAUAUGCUUUGGUCAAAGAUUUAGUCAUCACUAAGAGUGUAGUGAAAACCCAUGAACACCUACUGAAGGGUAACUGAGUGAAGUGUCCCACUGGCGAGCUUGGCUUUUCCUGCCAGGGAACACCUGGACAAUAUUAUUUGAAAAGCCACAUGUUAAUAAAUCAAAAAUUAUCUGCUGAUAAUUAGUCAGUUUUUACAAUGAUUAGUGUAGAAAAUGGCUCCUGGACCUUCAUAGUGAUAUGGCAAAUUCUGAAAAUAGAAAUGGCCAAACACCUUCUUCUUCUUCUCUUUCUCCUCCUCCUCCUCCUUCUCUACUACUACUAUUGUUAUUUCCCCACCCACUCAUGUGUGUUACAUGGUGUCUGUGAGGAGCAUCUACAGUGGUCCAGGAACAACUUCCUGAUUUUAGUUCUCUCCUUCCACCUUUACGUGGCACAUGAAUUACUUUUGUGUUGAUGUGAUAAAAAACCUAUGACCAAAAGCAAUUUAAGGAAGAAAAAGAUUUAUUUUGGCUUACAGGUUCAGAGGGAUGGAGUUCAUUAUGACUGGGAAGGCAUGAUGAUUGUUAGAAGACGCAUGGUGACAGGAACUGGAAGCUGGCUGAUCACAUUUUUAUCCACACACACAGGAAGUAGAGUGAAGCCAUAAAUUCUCCAAACCCAUUCCCAGUGACUUCCUCAAAGAGAGCUAGACCUUCUAAAGUUUCCAUACCCUCCUCAAAUAGCAGCACCAGCUGGGGACCAAGUGUUGAAACAUAAAAUUACCGAGGCCAUUUCCUAUUUAAACCACAGCAUGUUGGUUCCAAGACUGAUCUCAGGUCAUCAGGCUUGCAUCUCAGGCAAAAGUGCCUGAACUCACCAAACCAUCUCAUUGGUCCUCCAUACACUUUUUUUCACUUGAUCUUUGCCAAAAGGCCAAGAAGUGAUCCCCAAACACUUUUAUAAUCUGACACCGAAGGAAUGGAACUUAGAGAUGAGUACAGAGACUAUCUAGUCAAGCGUUUUCAUAAUUUAGAUGAGAAAAUUGGGAUUGAGGAAGGUUAAUAAGUAACUUUCAUGAAAUCACUCAGCUUUUAAAACCUUAAUUUAAUUUCUCUGCCCUCCCUUUUCGUGCAGAAAGGGUUUAAUUUGGCUUAGUCAUUCAGUUGGCUAGUGGCAUCAAUAACUAAAAUCCAGGCUCCUGGCCCUCAUCAACCCAUCUUCCCAAUGAACUACAUUUUUAAAAACAUUCAUAGCGCCGGGCGGUGGCACACGCCUUUAAUCCCAGCACUUGGGCGGAUCUCUGUGAGUUCAAGGCCAGCCUGGUCUACAAAGCGAGUUCCAGGAAAGGCGCAAAGCUACACAGAGAAACCCUGUCUUGAAAAAAACAAAAAACAAAACAAAACAAAAACAUUCAUAGUGUGUGCUUUUCUGCAUCCUAAGUAUUAUGAAAUCAUAAGAUGUGGGAAUUGUGAGGAGUUGACUAUUGUUCUUUAAUUUCAGAGGAAUCUGAUACUCAGGGAGCUUAAGGGAAUCACUACCAGCCAUAGAGUCACAGAAACCCAGACUCACAAUUUCCCCUUCCUUCCACAGAUCUGAAAUGUUCCUUGUUAACUAGGAUCCCAGCAACCAAAACCAUCAAUACAGUUUUAUACUGACUUUUCAGAAGUAUGCUUUUAUUGAAGACAAUUUAAAACAAAAUAAAUCACAACAAAAACUCCAGGGAAUGCCAUUAGGGAAUACCAAAGUGUCCGACAGCACUACAAUAAAGUCCUAACAUUUUCUCCAAUGAAACGGAUGACUUGAGUGAUCAGUGGCCUUUGUUAGAGAAGCAGGGAUGUCAAGAUGAACUCCAUGAAUCCAUUAACAUCGGGAGUCUACCUAGUAACUGAAGUUCUGGGCUUAAGUUCCAGCCUUCGCAACUUGAAUACAGGUGGUUCAACGCACAGGAAGGAGCUUCUACUGUGUACCACAUGGGAGGCUGCCUAAAAGUCAUAAUAUAUGUGAGAAAAGAGGACAAUGGUGAAAUUGAGUUAGUUUCCCAGCCACUCACUUCAUCUUUUAAUUCACUACUAUUUAGCUUUUUUUUUUUUUUUUUUUGCUAGCUGUGAUGUUGCUCUGAAAACCCAGCACUUGGAAGACAAAGGCAGGUAGAUCAUUGCAAGUUCUAGAUCAGCAUAGUCUACAUAUCAAGUUCUCAGAGAAACAGGACUAUGUAGUAAGAUCGUAUCUCUGAGAGACCAAGAAGGGGGCUGGAGAAAGAGAGCUCAGCCGAUGCAGUGCCUGUUCUGCAGGCGUGAAGACCUCAGUUUGAGCCUCUGAAGUUGCGUUAAAGGGCCAGGCAUGGGGGCAUGGAUUUAUAAUCCCAGAAUGUCUCACCUAAUUUGCAAGCCCUUGGCCAAUGAAAGAUCCAUCACAAAAAGCAAGAUAGGCAAUGCCAAUGGAAGAAUGAUACCCAGAGUGUCCCCUGGCUUUCACAUCUGUGUGCAGUCCCACCUGCAUAUUCAUAUAAACUCACAUAAAAGCCCCCAUUUCCAAAAAAUUAUAUACUUUUUCACAUAUUGUAUAGCUAGAAAAAAUGUACAAAUGGCAGUGUUAUUACAAUAAAUGUUCAGAUAUGGGGAUGGAGUCAAUAACCAGGAAGCGUUAUAAGUGAAUUGGGAUUAAAUUUUUAUUUCUACUAAUAAAUAAAUAAAGUGUAAAGUUUGUUUGCCAAA
Molecule: long non-coding RNA, 10134 nt
Organism: Peromyscus californicus insignis
Lineage: Eukaryota; Metazoa; Chordata; Mammalia; Rodentia; Cricetidae
Exons: 2
Source: RefSeq, a predicted model, not a curated record